This 318-nucleotide unclassified non-coding RNA is filed under the name air metagenome. Its description in RNAcentral is "partial contains small subunit ribosomal RNA, internal transcribed spacer 1, and 5.8S ribosomal RNA". The stretch from base 1 to 46 matches the Rfam family "Eukaryotic small subunit ribosomal RNA", at positions 1786 to 1831 of the family's 1831-position model. The record is from RNAcentral.
AAGUCGUAACAAGGUUUCCGUAGGUGAACCUGCGGAAGGAUCAUUAAUGAACUAUUAGAAUGGUUUGCUGCUGCCUUGAAAAAGGAUUGUGCACAGCCUUUCAAUAUUCUACUUAACCACUUGUGCACCUUUCAUGAACCAUGAAUACAAUUUGUAUCACUGAAAAUGUGGAUUUGAGAUUUAGUUUUACUCUUUCUCAACGUACUCAUGGUUUAUGGUUUCUUACACACACUAUGAAAUAAAAUGAAUGUAUUACUUAUGGAGUUUUACUCUAUAAUAAAUGAAAUACAACUUUUAGCAACGGAUCUCUUGGCUCUC